Molecule: long non-coding RNA, 5204 nt
Organism: Sarcophilus harrisii (Tasmanian devil)
Lineage: Eukaryota; Metazoa; Chordata; Mammalia; Dasyuromorphia; Dasyuridae
Source: Ensembl
CUUCAGACUAAGAUUAAUCAACUAAGUGAUGAGAGAUCUUCUGACAGCACUUUUAUCCAUAUUCAAAACCAAUACACUCAAGGUAAACUCAUGUUUUAUCAGCAGUCCCAUAGGUCAUGUUUUCUGGGAGUUAAUAAUCUAAAAGAAUGAAAAUGAGAAUUGUGGGAUUAAUAUUUUGGCUGUUCAUUAACCUAAGAAAACACAGCAGGACACAGUUGUCUUCCACACAAAAUCAUACAAAAGUCUCUCUUUAUUAAAUAUACAUUAUUUACAGUUUAAGUCUUUCUCCUGUACAACAAUAACCAUAGAAAACAAAAGAAGCUAAGGCUAACUUUUUCCCCCCAUACAGUAUAUUAAGACAUGUUACAUGGUCUACAAAACUGACUUGGAUUGAGGCAACAUCCCUUAGGACUGUUAAAAAAAAAUUCAGACAGUGGAAAUAAAAUCUAGACCUUCACAAAGGACUUGGGCAAAGGUACAAGGAGAGGUGAAGCUUAUUUAUUUAUUCAUCAAUUAAUCUAUAUUUAUUUUUACUGUAACUGAGACUUUAUCUUCACUUGUAUUUUUAUUUUCUUCCUCACUAAUUGAAAGUGACUUUUCUUCUCUGGUUCCUAAAAGUCAGGGGAUUCUACAUGAUGGUGGAGAUAAAUUCCCUGACUGAACAUGUCAUUUACAUAGUGAGGAAUUAUUGUUCACACCUCAUCUGAUAAGGCAAUGCUUCUUUGGAGGCUUUCAACAACUGUACCUGCUAAUAAAAUGGCUACUAAUCGAGGGAUUAAGAACAAGAGAAUUCAGAUUCACAAUGAAAAUGUUCCUCAUUCUGAUACCUCGGCAAAUAAGGAAGCCAUUCCUGCACCCUUGUUAAGUCACUGCGAGUGAGGUUUACUGUUUCCCUGAAGGCAGAUUUGAGGCAGAAUGAGGUUAUAAAAGUUGAGACUCUGCUGUCAUUCAUAGGGAAGAGAUUAUUUUAAUAUUUCAUUUAAAACUUUCAAAGGAGUUUUUAUUGUAAGCACGGAUGGCAAAGCAAACUCACUUAGCCUUAUUAUCCCUUAAAGACGUACUGAAAAGGACCACAUUCAUGUAAGGUGCCAGCAAAUAUAAUGUGAUGCUUAUGUUGCAUACUGCAUGUCUUUCUUUUUCUUUCCACCUUUCCCUCUCUGAUUAUAUUGUUAGAGUCUGCUCUUAUUAGAGCACUGCAAUGAGAAGGACAAUGUCAUAAGCUCAAUUCUUAUAUAGACCAAUUUACUUUACUUUAUUCUGUAUACAUAGGCUGCACCCCAACCCUAUCUGGCUAUUGAACCAAUGAGAGCCUUGGAUCCCUAAAAGAACUGGGUGAUAGAAUAUGAAUAGAAGAAUGCAAAUCCAUUACCACAAUUAGAAAAACCAAUGCAGAGAACAUCCUCUUAUCCCUAUCCCAUAGUUAAUUAUAAUAGGGAAGACCAUCCUUAAAGAGGAAAACCAAUAUAUCAUACUUUUAUGCUACUUGAGAUAAAAGCAUCAUAAAGGGGAGAAACUAUCACACUGAACUGGUCCUGAAAAAAAAACAACAUUGGAUAUAGUAAGAUUAUUCUGAUUCAGGUCAUUAAGCCCAGGGGAUAAACUGUGAAGGUUUUGCAAACACAAAGCAAUAAAAUUUCAUUUACAGUUAACUUUGGUCAAGAUGUAUUUCAAUUUAGAUACUUUACAUGACAAGGAUCUUAAGUAACAGCAGCUAACUUGACUAAAUAAUGUAUUUAGCUGACAUAUAGCAGGAGGAUGGUUGGGAUUAGAUUCUAAGAAUGUCAUGCAAAGGUGAAUAAAUAACUCCCCAUGCAAAGCCCUUUACAAAAAUAUAACAUGGUAUUGUAAAGGCCUACAGAUACUCCCCAAUAGUGGGGCAUUUUGUAAUGGGGAUAGCUACCACUAGCAUGAUAGAAGGAUAGCUCUAUCCAUAUCUAUCUGAUCCUUCCAACACUAGUCCAAGUACUCAAGAAAUAUGCCUGAUAUGUCUAAAUAGUUGCCUUAAUCCUUACUUAGGUCUGCUCAGCCAUUUGUAGACUCUAGACAUUACAAAAGACAAACAACUAGAUUACAAAGUACAAUAUUUUCACUGAAAAGUGUGCUUUUAUUCCUCCUCAGAGUACCUUAAUGGGGGGAAAGGAGAGGAAGGAAGAAAAAAAUAAGAAAGAGAAAGAAAGAAAGAAAGGAUGAAAGAAAGAAAGAAAAAGGAAGGAAAUGAAAGAAAGAAAAAAUGAUAAAAAUAAAAAAGUUGGAUUUCCAAACUUUAUUUUCAUUCAGAACUUGCCCAAAGUCCUGGCAAAUUGGUCAUAGUUCAAGUCAUCAGAAGUUGGUUCAAAUCUUUUUACAUAUCUAAGGCUGGUCCUAUAUAUUUGAAAAAUAAAUUAAUGUUUAAAGUAGUACUAAAUUUUCUGGGCUACAUAGGAAAAACAAAGUACAGUAUUUCUUGGAGAAAACUCAAAUAGCUAGCCUAAAAGAAAAAAAGUAACCAACCAACAAAACAAAAGAAAAAAAAAACCUUGUAACUUUUUUCUUUCCAGUAUAUUCAACAUUUUGAAUUAUUGAAAUCAAAACAUAGGGCCAGAGAAAAAUGAAAAUGAAAAAGAGAAAAAAAAGUUUAUUUCUGAUAAUUGUGAAAGUGUUUUUUUUAAAUAAAGGAAUAAGGACUAAAAAUAGAACUUGGAAAUGAUUCAAUUACAUUAUGUGUCAUUUCGAAGGAAAAUAUUGCCAAACUUUGAAAAACCUGAACCAGAACUCAGUUGCUUUUCAGAUAUUCAAAUCUAUUAUUAGGUUUAUUCAUGAUCCCUUCUAUUAGUCAUUAUUUAAUCACCUUUUUAAAGGUUUUAUUUGGGGGGCAGGCAGGGAGAAGAUCUAAAAGUUAUCUGUGAAUGACAAGCAAUACAGAGGAAUAAAAUCCUAUACUUUUAGGCAAUGAAAAGAAUUGACAGAAAAAUACAUUGUUCAAAUGUCUCUUAGUUAGCCAGGGCUAUUAUUUGGAUUUAUCUUAAUAAGAAGGCAUGCAAAGAAAAGCAGGACUGACAGAAAUCAAAUUGUGAAGCUUUUUUUGAGGAAAGACAAAGCAUAAAUCCAUGUACCCUCAUGUCUUUCAUCCUGUGUGAUAGCCCUUUCUUGCAUGUUCUUUCAUUGAACAGUAUCCAGCUACCAAGCAAGGUAGGAUACCAGUUGACCACUGGAUGAUAAGAGUCUUUGAGUGUUACCUUGCUUUGUGAAACUUCACUUGGUAAAAACAAUUACUUCUGAGAGCAAUUAUUAUAUUAGUCCUCUGUUACUAAAUAAUAUUGUAUAGUGCUCAGUGGUUCUCUCAAAUUAAUCUUCUAUUGAGGAGUGGAAGGCAUGAUGUAAGAAUGAUACAUUAGGAAAUUAAUGAAACUCAUUUCCAUCUAUGUCUCUGGCCUUCAUUAUCAUUGUAGGAACAUCAGUAAAAGGCCAGGAGAAUAACAAAAAUAGAAAUUGUACUGCAUGAGCAGAAAAGAGAACUCCACACUAAAAAGAAAACAAAGAGCUUAUAAGUUCUGAAAAGUAUUAUGCAUUGAUGGAAAUUUAUGCAAGUGGGAAGAAAGGAGGUCAGAGAAGAGAAUACAGGACCCGAAACAGUGUUCUCAAGACUUCAAUUUUAUGUUCAGUUAUAUAAGUUCAGACUUAUAAGUAGGAGCAUUGUGGAUCAUCAUGUAAAACAAAGCAGAGAAAAACUCAAAAUAAUUCAGACCCUAAAAGCAUGCUAAGAAUUCAUGGAGCAUCUAGAUUUGGUCUGCAAUAAAAUUUAUCAAUGGCUCUCCGCAAGAACCUGUAUUAAUAGAUUAAAGCAUCCAUUGCCUACAAUAGAUAAAUAUAAGAUGAUGAGAAGUGGCUUAGCUGGCAUAAAAAACAACCAAUUAAUUACUAAUGUAUUAAUAAAAAAAGUAAUGCUCUAAAUUUUCAUUAUCAGUCAUAAAAUAGUAAUGAACUUCAGAUAAGAAGUUUAAUUAUUUUUAUUUUAUUUUUUACCCCUAAUGCUAAUGGGGAAUGUGGGGUAUGGGGUAGUAGAUCUGCUCCUGGAAAAGGGAAGGAGUUUUGGGGUUACCUUCUUUUUGUGUCUAAAACACAGAUAGAGAUAUAAUUCAUGAAGCAGUUUCCCUCAAAGUAAAUACCCCAAAUACAUGUGAUAAAGAAUCCAGAAAUCUAAAAUAUUUGUAAAAUAGGCUUUUGCAAAAGGUUCAUUUUCUUUUAUCUAGAUGGAACUCUCAUAGUAAAAAGUAGAAGUAUAACCUGAGUAAACUAUGUAUGUUACACUGAGUAUUAAAAAUAUCCCUAGGGCAAGCAAUUAUACUACAACUUGGUGUGGACUAAGAAAAUAGGAGAAAUAUUUGGUGGGAAUAAUAUCAAUGAUAGAGCUCCUUUUAAAUGUAAAAUUACACAGUUUUUUUUCAUUUGUCCUUUUUUUUGGUUUUGCUGUAAAGUGACAGAAUUUGAUGUUUUAAAAAGUGAUUACUAUGUAUUAGGGGUCUAAAUGGAAGGAUGAGGUGACACACAGAAUCUCAAUUUGCAUUUAGGAAAUCCAUUCAUUGAACAAGAGGGAAGAAUAUAGGAUUAUAUGGGAUUAUACAUGUGCAUUGUACAUGUAUUUCCAAAGAAUGUAUUUAAUUACCCAAGGGAUGCAACAUUCUUGAUCUUAAUAGCUACAUGAAACAUCAGGGGUACAUCCUUCCAAGGAGGAAAAAAAAUCCCCCCAAAAAACCCAAAGUGAAUCAAUGCUUAGCUCUUACCACUAAAGUCCCAUUCGAUUUUAAAGGGCAUGGCUUACUUAUUUGAGAUUCAGUUAAACACACUGAUAGACAAUUCUCCAGAAUUACUUCAAUGAGUUUUCAAAUACUCUAACAACAAACUUGAUUUUAGUGCUAUGUGCAUUAACCUCUCUUUAAAACAGGGUAUAUAUGAUUGUGUAUGGUUCUGCAGAUAUACUGACAUAGUUGUACAUGUACAACUAUAUAUGUGUUAGUGAUAUAGCCAUGUUAGUGUUAAAUUUGUUAGCUUCCAAAAUACGUACAGAAGGAAAUUAGAAAAUCAAAUUAUUUAGCUUUGACCUUUAUGGGACUUUCCCUCCCCCUCUCCCUUUCUCUCUUUCUCUCUCUCUCUCUCUCUCUCUCUCUCUUUUUCUCUCUCUUUCUCUCUCUCUUUACAUAAAGAAAUUUAAAGCUGACAAUCUGUGG